UACGUAGGGUGCAAGCGUUGUCCGGAAUUAUUGGGCGUAAAGAGCUCGUAGGCGGUCCGUCGCGUCGGCUGUGAAAACUCAGGGCUCAACCCUGAGCCUGCAGUCGAUACGGGCGGACUAGAGUAUGGCAGGGGAGACUGGAAUUCCUGGUGUAGCGGUGAAAUGCGCAGAUAUCAGGAGGAACACCGGUGGCGAAGGCGGGUCUCUGGGCCAUAACUGACGCUGAGGAGCGAAAGCGUGGGGAGCGAACAGG
This 253-nucleotide ribosomal RNA is filed under the name uncultured bacterium. RNAcentral's name for it is "partial 16S ribosomal RNA". It matches the Rfam family "Bacterial small subunit ribosomal RNA", at positions 524 to 776 of the family's 1533-position model. The record is from RNAcentral.